AGCUACAGCCAUCACACCUACAAC
This 24-nucleotide non-coding RNA is filed under the name Arabidopsis thaliana (thale cress). Lineage: Eukaryota; Viridiplantae; Streptophyta; Magnoliopsida; Brassicales; Brassicaceae. The record is from RNAcentral.